CCUACUUAAAAAAACAUGAUGUUCACUAAACUAACAAAAAGUGGUUGGAAAAUGUUGUCUUAAUUUUAUUAAGUUAUAUCUAUGUAACAGUUUUUACAGUGUAUAAUGUAAAUUGCGCACAUUUAAAAGCAAAAUUGAAUGGGCGAUGUCUAAGAAAUCCUGCUUGAUGCGUGUUAUUUCGUCAUUAGUGGUGGGUAAAUGG
Molecule: long non-coding RNA, 202 nt
Organism: Etheostoma spectabile (orangethroat darter)
Lineage: Eukaryota; Metazoa; Chordata; Actinopteri; Perciformes; Percidae
Exons: 3
Source: RefSeq, a predicted model, not a curated record